This 434-nucleotide ribosomal RNA is filed under the name uncultured bacterium. RNAcentral's name for it is "partial 16S ribosomal RNA". It matches the Rfam family "Bacterial small subunit ribosomal RNA", at positions 29 to 507 of the family's 1533-position model. The record is from RNAcentral.
AGCGAACGCUGGCGGCAGGCUUAACACAUGCAAGUCGAGCGGGCACUCUCGGGUGUCAGCGGCGGACGGGUGAGUAACGCGUGGGAACGUGCCCUCUGGUUCGGAAUAACUCAGGGAAACUUGAGCUAAUACCGGAUACGCCCUUUUGGGAAAAGAUUGCUGCCGGAGGGUUGGGCCGGGGCUGAUUAGCUUGUUGGUUAGGUUAAGGCUCACCAAGGCGAGGAUCAGUAGCUGGUCUGGGAGGAUGAUCAGCCACACUGGGACUGAGACACGGCCCAGACUCCUACGGGAGGCAGCAGUGGGGAAUAUUGGACAAUGGGCGCAAGCCUGAUCCAGCCAUGCCGCGUGAGUGAUGAAGGCCUUAGGGUUGUAAAGCUCUUUUAUCCGGGACGAUAAUGACGGUACCGGAGGAAUAAGCCCCGGCUAACUUCGUG